GGCUAUGAAGCCUUUGGACCCUAAGCAGAGACAGUACCUCAAUCAGUUAAGGAUGGGUGGGGCCUACAUCCCAUAGGGAUGUGAGGAAGUGGGUAGAUCUAUGUAGCUGGAAGGCCUGGGAGAAAUGUAGUCCUGUCCGCUGUGGAGUGGGGACUCAGGCCAGUCAACUGGGAGAGAGGCCGUUUGUGAGGUCUCAGGGUAGAUCUAGCGUUCAGGAUGCUGGAGAACAGGCAUUCCUGGGUCGUCGGUGUUUGCUGCAUCCUAGUGUUGGGUCUGGAGGCACUUGGUACCAGGCAGAUGCAGGGAGGACACAAGCCUGGGCUGAGAAAGGACAAGGGGCCUGAGGGUAUGGAGGAGGUGAGCUGAGGCCGUAUACAGAGCCUGGAGACUUGUGGAGCUGGAAGAGGGACAGGCAUCAGGGUGAGCAACAGGGACCUGUGAGCGGGCUGCGGCGUGGGAUGAGGAAGCAUGGAGGUAGACAUCACUCCAGGGCUCACAGGAGUCUCCAGAUCCCUUCCUGUUUUCCAACAUGUCAGGGGCACUUCAGGGACUCACUUGCUCCUUGUCUUCCCAAGGCUACCUGGCUGAUGGCAGAGGCAGGCAAGCGUCACAGCAGGUGUAUGGGUCUCUCUGUUUUGGAUCCCACAGCCCAGCUUGGUGGUCCCCCGGCACAUAGUAGGCUCCUUCUCUCGGCUUGCUGAAUCUCCUUUCCUUGCAGUCAGUGCAGCCAGCACCCCCUACCCCCAAUUCCACCCCUACCCCAGCUCAGCCACCUACUGUGCCCCAGCACUGGGUGCUCUAAGCUGUCUGCCUCCCUCCCACAGAGG
RNAcentral lists this long non-coding RNA (827 nucleotides) under Mus musculus (house mouse). Its description in RNAcentral is "long non-coding RNA chr2:33976887-33977714". The record is from RNAcentral. Lineage: Eukaryota; Metazoa; Chordata; Mammalia; Rodentia; Muridae.